CUAUCCCCUGUUUCCAGCGGAUAAUGCCGGGCACUCUGGGGAAACUGCCGGCGACAAGCCGGAGGAAGGUGGGGAUGACGUCAAGUCCGCAUGGCCCUUAUGUCCAGGGCUACACACGUGCUACAAUGGGCGCUACAGAGGGUUGCAAACCCGCGAGGGGGAGCCAAUCCCUAAAAGCGCUCUCAGUUGGGAUCGGAGUCUGCAACUCGACUCCGUGAACCCGGAAUCGCUAGUAAUCGCGCAUCAGCUACGGCGCGGUGAA
RNAcentral lists this ribosomal RNA (262 nucleotides) under uncultured bacterium. RNAcentral's name for it is "partial 16S ribosomal RNA". It matches the Rfam family "Bacterial small subunit ribosomal RNA", at positions 1105 to 1366 of the family's 1533-position model. The record is from RNAcentral.